RNAcentral lists this ribosomal RNA (478 nucleotides) under uncultured organism. Its description in RNAcentral is "partial 16S ribosomal RNA". It matches the Rfam family "Bacterial small subunit ribosomal RNA", at positions 331 to 800 of the family's 1533-position model. The record is from RNAcentral.
GUACACUCCUACGGGAGGCAGCAGUGGGGAAUAUUGCACAAUGGGCGCAAGCCUGAUGCAGCCAUGCCGCGUGUAUGAAGAAGGCCUUCGGGUUGUAAAGUACUUUCAGCGGGGAGGAAGGCGAUAAGGUUAAUAACCUUGUCGAUUGACGUUACCCGCAGAAGAAGCACCGGCUAACUCCGUGCCAGCAGCCGCGGUAAUACGGAGGGUGCAAGCGUUAAUCGGAAUUACUGGGCGUAAAGCGCACGCAGGCGGUCUGUCAAGUCGGAUGUGAAAUCCCCGGGCUCAACCUGGGAACUGCAUUCGAAACUGGCAGGCUAGAGUCUUGUAGAGGGGGGUAGAAUUCCAGGUGUAGCGGUGAAAUGCGUAGAGAUCUGGAGGAAUACCGGUGGCGAAGGCGGCCCCCUGGACAAAGACUGACGCUCAGGUGCGAAAGCGUGGGGAGCAAACAGGAUUAGAAACCCCUGUAGUCCCAUGA